AAGCCUCUGUCAGUAGAGCUUCAGGCAGAGACCUGCUGCAGCAGCCUUUGGCUGUGUGUAGGGCCUUAACCAUAGCCGGGUAGGUUUGUGCUUUGUUCACCUCCAAGUUGCUGCCGCACCAUCAUUAUCACUGUGUAGAUCGCAGGCAGUGUCUGGCCGCUCAUGCGACACUAUGGAGAGUCCUCUUAAGCUGCGGGAUCAGGUGCCGCUGUUUCUGUUUGUAUGUUUUCAUCACUGAUCUGCCCAACCCGGUGACCCCUUGGUGCACCGUGGUCCAAGUACGGUGCCACGGCCGGCAUUUUGGGGAUCGUGUGUGCUCCAGAGUCAGGGACUGCUGUCUAUCCACGCAUUGGCGAGCGGCGUGACGGAGCUGAGUCGACGGAUUUCGGAGCGAGUUCCUCCUUCCGGCCUUCUAUCCCUCAAGCACAACCUGAGGCCAGUGUCCCACCACCUUGGACUGGAGUCGGUUACUGCCACUGGACGCAAGGGGCGUGGGCAUUGAGCCGGGUGCGCCACAACAGGGGGCGCACAGCUGGGUGCAGCUGACUUUGUGGGCUGGGCAUGAUCGCCCUUAUGGUUUGGGUAACUAUGUUUCGUGUCUUUUUAGAAUAGGAAUUUUAACACUUUCUAAUAAAGGUUGUCUAUUUCUUUAAAA
Non-coding RNA from Oryzias latipes (Japanese medaka), 655 nucleotides. Lineage: Eukaryota; Metazoa; Chordata; Actinopteri; Beloniformes; Adrianichthyidae. The record is from RefSeq and is a predicted model, not a curated record.